RNAcentral lists this ribosomal RNA (501 nucleotides) under uncultured bacterium. RNAcentral's name for it is "partial 16S ribosomal RNA". It matches the Rfam family "Bacterial small subunit ribosomal RNA", at positions 28 to 523 of the family's 1533-position model. The record is from RNAcentral.
GACGAACGCUGGCGGCGUGCUUAACACAUGCAAGUCGAACGGCAGCACGGGUGCUUGCACCUGGUGGCGAGUGGCGAACGGGUGAGUAAUACAUCGGAACGUACCUUAUCGUGGGGGAUAACGCAGCGAAAGCUGUGCUAAUACCGCAUACGCCCGGAGGGGGAAAGCGGGGGAGCGCAAGAACUCGCGCGAGUAGAGCGGGCGAUGCCUGAUUAGCUUGUGGGUGGGGUAAAAGCCCACCAAGGCGACGAUCAGUAGCUGGUCUGAGAGGACGAUCAGCCACACUGGGACUGAGACACGGCCCAGACUCCUACGGGAGGCAGCAGUGGGGAAUUUUGGACAAUGGGGGCAACCCUGAUCCAGCAAUGCCGCGUGAGUGAAGAAGGCCUUCGGGUUGUAAAGCUCCUUUGUCAGGGAAGAAACACCGGCUCUAACACAGUCCGGGAAUGACGGUACCUGAAGAAUAAGCACCGGCUAACUACGUGCCAGCAGCCGCCGUAA